Molecule: non-coding RNA, 356 nt
Organism: Verrucomicrobia subdivision 6 bacterium BACL9 MAG-120924-bin69
Lineage: Bacteria; Pseudomonadati; Verrucomicrobiota; Verrucomicrobiia; Verrucomicrobiales; Verrucomicrobia subdivision 6
Source: Rfam
GGGGGCGUCACGGUUUCGAUUCAAACUGGAAGCGACCUGCGGCAAGCCGAGGGCCCGGAUUGGUUGGCCUCGUUAAAAAGCCGAUCCACCAAAAUAAAAGCUAACAACGAGUUGGCCCUCGCAGCCUAAAGUGCUGUGACGUUACUCCUCCGACCCCGGCUAGGGGGAAGUGACGUGUUUGCCGGGUCUGAGAAUGGGUGAGCAACCGACCUGUUUUUAGGAAUCAACGUGGAUGCUACGGGGUACGGGCCAGUGGCAGGGCAACCGGACUCCCGACAAUCAAGCUGCCAACAAGCUUGUAGAAGCGGGUGGUAGCUGGUUUGAAGACGUGGGUUCAACUCCCACCGCCUCCAUUC